UACGGAAGGCAGCAGUGGGGAAUAUUGCACAAUGGGCGAAAGCCUGAUGCAGCUAUGCCGCGUGUAUGAAGAAGGCCUUAGGGUUGUAAAGUACUUUCAUCGGGGAGGAAAAAACAAAACUAAUAAUUUUAUUUCUUGACGUUACCCGAAAAAGAAGCACCGGCUAACUCCGUGCCAGCAGCCGCGGUAAUACGGAGGGUGCCAGCGUUAAUCAGAAUUACUGGGCGUAAAGAGCACGUAGGUGGUUUUUUUAAGUCAGAUGUGAAAUCCCUGGGCUUAACCUAGGAACUGCAUUUUGAAACUGAAAUACUAGAGUAUCGUAGAGGGAGGUAGAAUUCUAGGUGUAGCGGUGAAAUGCGUAGAUAUCUGGAGGAAUACCUGUGGCGAAAGCGGCCUCCUAAACGAAUACUGACACUGAGGUGCGAAAGCGUGGGGAGCAAACAGGGAUUAGAUACC
RNAcentral lists this ribosomal RNA (456 nucleotides) under uncultured bacterium. RNAcentral's name for it is "bacterial SSU rRNA". It matches the Rfam family "Bacterial small subunit ribosomal RNA", at positions 340 to 786 of the family's 1533-position model. The record is from RNAcentral.